This 480-nucleotide ribosomal RNA is filed under the name uncultured Rhodoferax sp. RNAcentral describes it as "bacterial SSU rRNA". It matches the Rfam family "Bacterial small subunit ribosomal RNA", at positions 900 to 1382 of the family's 1533-position model. Lineage: Bacteria; Pseudomonadati; Pseudomonadota; Betaproteobacteria; Burkholderiales; Comamonadaceae. The record is from RNAcentral.
CUUAAAUGAAUUGACGGGACCCGCACAAGCGGUGGAUGAUGUGGUUUAAUUCGAUGCAACGCGAAAACCUUACCCACCUUUGACAUGUACGGAACCCUUUAGAGAUAGAGGGGUGCUCGAAAGAGAGCCGUAACACAGGUGCUGCAUGGCUGUCGUCAGCUCGUGUCGUGAGAUGUUGGGUUAAGUCCCGCAACGAGCGCAACCCUUGUCAUUAGUUGCUACAUUCAGUUGGGCACUCUAAUGAGACUGUCGGUGACAAGCCGGAGGAAGGUGGGGAUGACGUCAAGUCCUCAUGGCCCUUAUAGGUGGGGCUACACACGUCAUACAAUGGCUGGUACAAAGGGUUGCCAACCCGCGAGGGGGAGCCAAUCCCAUAAAGCCAGUCGUAGUCCGGAUCGUAGUCUGCAACUCGACUACGUGAAGUCGGAAUCGCUAGUAAUCGUGGAUCAGAAUGUCACGGUGAAUACGUUCCCGGGUCUU